AUUGAACGCUGGCGGCAGGCUUAACACAUGCAAGUCGAGCGGGGUGAUGGUGCUUGCACUAUCACUUAGCGGCGGACGGGUGAGUAAUGCUUAGGAAUCUGCCUAUUAGUGGGGGACAACAUCUCGAAAGGGAUGCUAAUACCGCAUACGCCCUACGGGGGAAAGCAGGGGAUCUUCGGACCUUGCGCUAAUAGAUGAGCCUAAGUCGGAUUAGCUAGUUGGUGGGGUAAAGGCCUACCAAGGCGACGAUCUGUAGCGGGUCUGAGAGGAUGAGCCGCCACACUGGGACUGAGACACGGCCCAGACUCCGACGGGAGGCAGCAGUGGGGAAUAUUGGACAAUGGGCGGAAGCCUGAUCCAGCCAUGCCGCGUGUGUGAAGAAGGCCUUUUGGUUGUAAAGCACUUUAAGCGAGGAGGAGGCUCUUAAGGUUAAUACCCUUGAUGAGUGGACGUUACUCGCAGAAUAAGCACCGGCUAACUCUGUGCCAGCCGCCGCAGUAA
This 501-nucleotide ribosomal RNA is filed under the name uncultured bacterium. RNAcentral's name for it is "partial 16S ribosomal RNA". It matches the Rfam family "Bacterial small subunit ribosomal RNA", at positions 30 to 523 of the family's 1533-position model. The record is from RNAcentral.